UAGGGAAUCUUCGGCAAUGGGGGCAACCCUGACCGAGCAACGCCGCGUGAGUGAAGAAGGUUUUCGGAUCGUAAAGCUCUGUUGUAAGAGAAGAACGUGUGUGAGAGUGGAAAGUUCACACAGUGACGGUAACUUACCAGAAAGGGACGGCUAACUACGUGCCAGCAGCCGCGGUAAUACGUAGGUCCCGAGCGUUGUCCGGAUUUAUUGGGCGUAAAGCGAGCGCAGGCGGUUUAAUAAGUCUGAAGUUAAAGGUAGUGGCUUAACCAUUGUUCGCUUUGGAAACUGUUAAACUUGAGUGCAGAAGGGGAGAGUGGAAUUCCAUGUGUAGCGGUGAAAUGCGUAGAUAUAUGGAGGAACACCGGUGGCGAAAGCGGCUCUCUGGUCUGUAACUGACGCUGAGGCUCGAAAGCGUGGGGAGCAAACAGG
This 429-nucleotide ribosomal RNA is filed under the name bacterium. RNAcentral describes it as "partial 16S ribosomal RNA". It matches the Rfam family "Bacterial small subunit ribosomal RNA", at positions 355 to 776 of the family's 1533-position model. The record is from RNAcentral.